UGGUGGAGUGAUUUGUCUGGUUAAUUCCGAUAACGAACGAGACCCCGUCCUACUUACUAGACCGAGGAUCCUCUCGUUCUCGCUGUCUUCUUAGAGGGACAACUGCUUAUACCUUGUACUACAUGAAAUGGGGCAAUAACA
Molecule: ribosomal RNA, 141 nt
Filed under: uncultured eukaryote
Lineage: Eukaryota
Description: partial 18S ribosomal RNA
Rfam family: Eukaryotic small subunit ribosomal RNA
Source: RNAcentral